AUUGAACGCUGGCGGCAGGCCUAACACAUGCAAGUCGAACGGUAGCACAGAGAGCUUGCUCUCGGGUGACGAGUGGCGGACGGGUGAGUAAUGUCUGGGAAACUGCCUGAUGGAGGGGGAUAACUACUGGAAACGGUAGCUAAUACCGCAUAACGUCGCAAGACCAAAGAGGGGGACCUUCGGGCCUCUUGCCAUCAGAUGUGCCCAGAUGGGAUUAGCUAGUAGGUGGGGUAACGGCUCACCUAGGCGACGAUCCCUAGCUGGUCUGAGAGGAUGACCAGCCACACUGGAACUGAGACACGGUCCAGACUCUUACGGGAGGCAGCAGUGGGGAAUAUUGCACAAUGGGCGCAAGCCUGAUGCAGCCAUGCCGCGUGUAUGAAGAAGGCCUUCGGGUUGUAAAGUACUUUCAGCGGGGAGGAAGGUGUUGUGGUUAAUAACCACAGCAAUUGACGUACC
Molecule: ribosomal RNA, 459 nt
Filed under: uncultured bacterium
Lineage: Bacteria
Description: bacterial SSU rRNA
Rfam family: Bacterial small subunit ribosomal RNA
Source: RNAcentral